Molecule: ribosomal RNA, 423 nt
Filed under: uncultured Gammaproteobacteria bacterium
Lineage: Bacteria; Pseudomonadati; Pseudomonadota; Gammaproteobacteria
Description: bacterial SSU rRNA
Rfam family: Bacterial small subunit ribosomal RNA
Source: RNAcentral
CUCAACCUGGGAAUGGCAUUCGAUACUGUCCAGCUAGAGUCUGGUAGAGGGAAGUGGAAUUUCCGGUGUAGCGGUGAAGUGCGUAGAUAUCGGAAGGAACACCAGUGGCGAAGGCGACUUCCUGGACCAAGACUGACGCUGAGGUGCGAAAGCGUGGGUAGCAAACAGGAUUAGAUACCCUGGUAGUCCACGCCGUAAACGAUGAGAACUAGCCGUUGGACCCAUUUAAGGGUUUAGUGGCGCAGCUAACGCAAUAAGUUCUCCGCCUGGGGAGUACGGCCGCAAGGCUAAAACUCAAAGGAAUUGACGGGGGCCCGCACAAGCGGUGGAGCAUGUGGUUUAAUUCGAUGCAACGCGAAGAACCUUACCUGCCCUUGACAUCCUCGGAACUUGGUAGAGAUACCUUGGUGCCUUCGGGAGCCG